This is a long non-coding RNA of Triticum urartu, 3063 nucleotides long. RefSeq lists it as uncharacterized. NCBI's taxonomy places the organism in Eukaryota, Viridiplantae, Streptophyta, Magnoliopsida, Poales, Poaceae. The record is from RefSeq and is a predicted model, not a curated record.
CCCUCGCCCGUCUCACCCCCUCGUCCAAACACUAGCUUUCCUCGCGCCGCACCCGAGCCGUGCCUCCUUCCCUCCGCACGCCGCCACAGCUCGCCGCCGACGGCCUCCACUUCUCUCCCACCCGCCUCUCUCCCACCCCAGACGGAUCGCCCAACACAUCCAUCUCUCCUCUCCUGCAACCCCUCUCUCUCUCUCCCCGCACUUCACAGCGACAACAAGCACUCCCAGAUCCCUCCGGAUGCCGGACUUGGAGGAGUCUGUGCAGCCCAAGCCCGCCGACCCCUCCGCCCCGCCCCCCGCCGCCGGUAGAAGAUGGAGGCCCCGGGCUCCCCCUACGCCUCCUCGCCCUAGUCCGCGCCCAAGCGCGCGCCCCUCUCCUCCCCGCUGCCCCCGCAGGACCGCCCCGACGCCGACCACGACGCCGCCGAGCCUGAAGAGAAGCUGCAACCUGCAGAAUGCAAGAAAGGGCUGAUGUGUGUUGCGUCCUCGCCAUUUCUGGACAUCAAGGUUCUUGUCAUCGUCCUAUGUGAGCUGCGAACAGCUCAUCCAUCCCACCAACCCCGAUAAUUUUUAUAUAUGCUUGCUAUGGGUUUCCAUUCAAAUCUAUAAGGUCGUUAACUGCUAUCUUAUUCAGUUUUUUUCUUCCCUGUAUCUAUCAAGCUUAGUCAUGUUUACACACAGCUUCAGUAAAUGGCAUUGUAUAUGUUUUUCUCAGUAAAUGCAAGACAUUGUAUUCAACACUAAUCUCCUAAGUAUGCCAUGAGCAUGUGAAUAGCUCAAUCCUGUUGUCUUUGUGCUUAGUGCUUACUGCCUAGGUGUUCUCAGUUUACAAAGGGUUUUGGGAGUACUUGCCUGUUGCAAAUGGAUGGGCCUGUUGUUAGAUGCAUGAGUCUGACACUCCAGUGAUUUCUAACUUAGACACUUGUAUUUAUGCAACUUUACCAACAAUUUUGUUUGCAACAGCAUUAUGCACAUGAGGCAGGACUAUACAAGUGAAUUGUCGCAGUAAGGUCCUUCCAUGGAUUUCAUGUGGCUCCUUGAGUUGUAAGAUGCAGCUCCAACAUUGAAUAUAUUUUGAAUGUUUCCAAAGAUACUCUGUUACGUUUACUUCAAUAUAUACAUGCAUGUUACUGAUAGAAGCUGGCUGCAGGAAUCUGUACACAUAUAUACUCUCUUGUACAGUGCAUUGCUAGAUCACUCACUAGGCAUUAUGUAAUACUACUAGGAGAUAUGGGUGAGGGACUAAAAGGAUGAUACGCUUCCAUGAAUUUAUUUGUAAGAAGUUUUUCUUGGCUGUGUACAAAUCAACCCAAAUGAAUUUAUGUUCUUUUUACUUCCAGAGUUAUAGUGCACUCAUACUGUCAUCACAUUGCGUGUUCUUGCUGCAUAUACCUCUCUAUUUGCUUAGGCAGACAACUACUUAUGUAAUAUGCAAACAACAACAACAUAGCUAGUGAUGCUAAUUCUACCUCUUGUUACAAAAUCAGAAUUCCUCUUGUUGCACAUGACAACUCCGUUUCCUCUUGUUACAGAAUCAGAAUUCCUCUGCUUCUUAUGCUACUCUGCUAGAACUCUGCUUUUCUACUUGUCAUAUUGAAUAUACAUGUUCUAAACAUUAUACAGUACUUUCGUUGUUAACUCCAAACAACUUGGGAUCUUCUCUUCUGCAUGCAGCAACUGGCUUACCAGUACGCCGCCAAGGGGGCAUGCCUUCCCUGGUAGCAAGGAGGGGGCAUACCUUGCCCUGCAGACAGCAAGGGUGACUAGUGAUAUUCAGUUUUUUGUGUGUGUUUUCUACACACACACACACACACACACAUGGUCCUUCCUUUUAAAUCUCCUCUGCUGCUUACUGACAGAGUACUAUGCACGUACAGUAGUUGAGUAGUAGUGUGUAGGUUAUGGCUGUAGUGUGCUCUCACGUUGCAUAAAAUUCUGGUAUUGUGUUCAUAUAGCUAAUCUGCUGCUGUUGUGCAUAAAAUUCCAGGAUCUUUGCAUGUAAGUUCUGGCUGUAGUGUGCUCUCCCGUUGUACAUGCCCCUACCUUUAGUAAGAUUAAAUUGCUACUAUUAAUGAUGAAUGGUUGAGUUUUAAAACUUGAAGCACCACCUACUUUCUGGUCCUGUAGUGUUUAAAACUGAUAAUUAUGAUGCAUUGGUCGGCCAUAUGGCCUUGUUUUUUAAUGCACACACACACACACACACACACACACACACACAGAUAUAUAUAUAUAUAUAUAUAUAUAUAUAUAUAUAUAUAUAUAUAUAUAUAUAUAUAUAUAUAUAUGAUGUAGUUGAUAGGCCUUGAUAUCAACCUCUCAAGUUCAUGUUCCCUGGUGUGUAGGUAACUAGUCAUUUUUUGGCAAGCCUGUAAUGAAUUUAUUAGAACUUUGCUCCUAUUGCCGUGUACUGUAUGAAGCAAAAAGGUCUAUAUUAGUGAGGAUGUAAAUGUAGAAGUAUAGAAACCAUAAAUUCAAGCUUCUGCUGUAGCAUGCUCAAUAUAUAUUGUUAUAGAAUAGUGUUCUACAAAAGGUUGAAACACCAUGGUCUCAGUCAUUUGUAGGAAGUAGAAACACCAAGGCUGACAUGCACUUCACUGUUUCAUUCGUUUUUUCUAAUUUAAUUUUCUGGAUAGUAAAUUUGCUAAAUUUGCGAUUGUACGCCCUUUGUGAAAAAAUUGCAUUUUAUGUUUCCAUGCCCUAUAAUGCUGAAGCACGGUUCUCUGAUAUUCUGCACCACUGAAAGGGUGAUAUCUUGUAUAAAUUUGGCUUUUGGCAGGUAAUCCUUUUCCCUGCCAUGUUCAGGUGCAUCACUCUGAUGCCGAUGAAGGGUGAGAUCUUGGUCGACACUAUGGAGAAGACCGUGAAGCCUGGUGUGUUCCUCAAAUCGGGACUGAUAGAAACCGAAGGGCCACUCGAAGCUGUCAAAGGGCACUUGUAGAUCUUGUGGUUGUGAUUACACUUGUAGAGACUUGUAGAGCUUGUGGCUGUGAUUACCAUUGUAUCUAAGUUAUAUGAUGUAACAGACUUAUUUUGGCUGUUAUUUGAAGUAUUAUCUGUGCUUUC